Long non-coding RNA from Zonotrichia leucophrys gambelii, 407 nucleotides. RefSeq lists it as uncharacterized. The record is from RefSeq and is a predicted model, not a curated record. The transcript has 3 exons. Lineage: Eukaryota; Metazoa; Chordata; Aves; Passeriformes; Passerellidae.
GCGCCAACCCUUCCCUCCUGCCGCUCUCUGCAGCGGGCAGACGACAGGAGCCGAGCGGCCGAGCACCUGCGCCGGGCCCUGCGCUUCCUGCGGAGCCCACAGGAGCCCCUGCGAGAGGCGGCGGACACGUUCAUGGGCAUGGCCGGGCGGUGCCUCAGGAGGCAGCAGCAAGAGCUGCAGCUGAUCUGGACAGCCCUCGAACCCCUGACGGAGGACAUGAGCAGUGCCAUGUCAGAGCUGGCAAUUCAAACACUGCAUGUCCUCCGAGCAACAGCGAGUGGGUGAUGCUCCAUCUUCCAGAGGCUGCACGAUCGGCUGCGCAGGGCAUGAUCGCUCGGCCUCGUCUGUCGCGGCUCGGCUGGCUGCACUGCUGGAGUUCUCAGGAGAGCUGAUCCGGGAGGCUCUCU